UUAAAUUGAAGAGUUUGAUCAUGGCUCAGAUUGAACGCUGGCGGCAGGCCUAACACAUGCAAGUCGAACGGUAGCACAGAGAGCUUGCUCUCGGGUGACGAGUGGCGGACGGGUGAGUAAUGUCUGGGAAACUGCCUGAUGGAGGGGGAUAACUACUGGAAACGGUAGCUAAUACCGCAUAAUGUCGCAAGACCAAAGAGGGGGACCUUCGGGCCUCUUGCCAUCAGAUGUGCCCAGAUGGGAUUAGCUAGUAGGUGGGGUAACGGCUCACCUAGGCGACGAUCCCUAGCUGGUCUGAGAGGAUGACCAGCCACACUGGAACUGAGACACGGUCCAGACUCCUACGGGAGGCAGCAGUGGGGAAUAUUGCACAAUGGGCGCAAGCCUGAUGCAGCCAUGCCGCGUGUAUGAAGAAGGCCUUCGGGUUGUAAAGUACUUUCAGCGGGGAGGAAGGUGUUGUGGUUAAUAACCGCAGCAAUUGACGUUACCCGCAGAAGAAGCACCGGCUAACUCCGUGCCAGCAGCCGCGGUAAUACGGAGGGUGCAAGCGUUAAUCGGAAUUACUGGGCGUAAAGCGCACGCAGGCGGUCUGUCAAGUCGGAUGUGAAAUCCCCGGGCUCAACCUGGGAACUGCAUUCGAAACUGGCAGGCUAGAGUCUUGUAGAGGGGGGUAGAAUUCCAGGUGUAGCGGUGAAAUGCGUAGAGAUCUGGAGGAAUACCGGUGGCGAAGGCGGCCCCCUGGACAAAGACUGACGCUCAGGUGCGAAAGCGUGGGGAGCAAACAGGAUUAGAUACCCUGGUAGUCCACGCCGUAAACGAUGUCGAUUUGGAGGUUGUGCCCUUGAGGCGUGGCUUCCGGAGCUAACGCGUUAAAUCGACCGCCUGGGGAGUACGGCCGCAAGGUUAAAACUCAAAUGAAUUGACGGGGGCCCGCACAAGCGGUGGAGCAUGUGGUUUAAUUCGAUGCAACGCGAAGAACCUUACCUGGUCUUGACAUCCACAGAACUUUCCAGAGAUGGAUUGGUGCCUUCGGGAACUGUGAGACAGGUGCUGCAUGGCUGUCGUCAGCUCGUGUUGUGAAAUGUUGGGUUAAGUCCCGCAACGAGCGCAACCCUUAUCCUUUGUUGCCAGCGGUUAGGCCGGGAACUCAAAGGAGACUGCCAGUGAUAAACUGGAGGAAGGUGGGGAUGACGUCAAGUCAUCAUGGCCCUUACGACCAGGGCUACACACGUGCUACAAUGGCGCAUACAAAGAGAAGCGACCUCGCGAGAGCAAGCGGACCUCAUAAAGUGCGUCGUAGUCCGGAUUGGAGUCUGCAACUCGACUCCAUGAAGUCGGAAUCGCUAGUAAUCGUAGAUCAGAAUGCUACGGUGAAUACGUUCCCGGGCCUUGUACACACCGCCCGUCACACCAUGGGAGUGGGUUGCAAAAGAAGUAGGUAGCUUAACCUUCGGGAGGGCGCUUACCACUUUGUGAUUCAUGACUGGGGUGAAGUCGUAACAAGGUAACCGUAGGGGAACCUGCGGUUGGAUCACCUCCUUACCUUAAAGAA
Molecule: ribosomal RNA, 1552 nt
Filed under: Enterobacter cloacae
Lineage: Bacteria; Pseudomonadati; Pseudomonadota; Gammaproteobacteria; Enterobacterales; Enterobacteriaceae
Also listed under: 1 other name
Description: bacterial SSU rRNA
Rfam family: Bacterial small subunit ribosomal RNA
Source: RNAcentral